Long non-coding RNA from Mus musculus (house mouse), 9934 nucleotides. RefSeq annotates it as predicted gene, 39214. NCBI's taxonomy places the organism in Eukaryota, Metazoa, Chordata, Mammalia, Rodentia, Muridae. The record is from RefSeq and is a predicted model, not a curated record. The transcript has 4 exons.
UGAAUGAAUAUUCAGUUAAUUAAUAUUUAUGAUCAAUAACUUAAAAAAUAUUUUGAGAUACAAUUUCCAUAUCCACAUAUAGUGAAAUGGUUUUGAGAAUAUCCUAAGAGGUCACCUCAGUGAGUACAAUGGAAUUUUAGGACAUUUUAAUCACUUGAAAAACUCAAUACCCAAGGCUGGUCCUCUUGUCAGCAAUGCUACACUCCCAGCUGAAGGCAGUAUCUCUCAUCUGCCUUCUGUCUUUUCUACCAAUCUGCCUACGCCAACAGCAACAUGAAGACAUUAUAGAUGUUAGAGUGUUAGAUAUGCCAGUUAUUCCAGUAUCAUCAUUAUACAUUAUAUACAUGACCUGAAAUGUCACAUCAUACCCAAUAAUAUGCACAGUUAAGUUUUGAUGUAUCAAUUCAAUGUAGUGUAUACCUGUCCAAUUUCAUACUCAUGUAAGGUUCAAAGUUCCCACAUCCUAGUGAACACUUGCAGUCACCAUCUUGCUAGCUGGGAGCAGUAUUUCUUAAGAGUUUAAUCUGUUUUGUCCUAUUGAUAGUGUCCUUUGCCUUACAUAAGCUUUGCAGUUUCAGAGUUUAGUUUGUUAUCAGCAUGGCAGGAAGCAUGUUGGCAUGUAGGUAGACAUUGUGCUGGAAAAGGAGGUGAGAGUUCUACACCUGGAUCUACAGAGAUCAGGAAGAGAGAGAGCCCCUAGGGUUGGCUUGGGCUUUUGAAACCUCACAGCCCAAUCCAAAUGAAAUACUUUCUUUGACAAGGCUAUACCUACCACACCUCAUAAUCCUUCCAAAAAGCGCCACUUCCUGAUUACUAAGCAUCAAAUUAUGAGCCUAUAGGGCCAUUCUUGUUCAAACCACCACAUAUACAUGUCCAACACUGACAGCAAAGAAUACUACCUAAAAGUCAUUAAAAACGCAUUCAACAAAUACUUGGGUGUUUUUGAAUAGAUAAGAACCAAAUUAAAAUUUAAAGCCAGUCCUCAGUGAGUCUCUAUCUUACCUCAUGGGAGAUAGAGAACUGCUAGGGUCUCUCUCUACCCUAUGGCAGAUACCAUAGGAAAGUUCAAGAUAAAGUUUGAUUGUGGAGUUUAUUUCCAGCUUGGAGAGUAAGGUUUUAAAAGUAUUGAGGUUCAGGGAUGGAAAAAUAAUUGAGAGUUGAAAGAUGAAAAGCGUGAUGGACUGGAUAGUCAGAAAUCAAGCUGGACAUGUGUAACAUACACACAGGGAACAGAAAUAAACAUGGAGGGUAAGGAAUGCAGGUUACAGUUCUCAGGGAGGAGGAAGGCACUUGAAUAUGAACUGAGCUUGCAUUAGAAAGAUUAAUUUCUAUAACUAAGUUUCUAGGAUAUUUCAAUAAUCUGAAUGGUAAUCUCUGAUAUUGGAGAUUAAAUGGGAACUUUUAUAGUGGACUAGGCUAGAGGUUGUAGGGACAUGAGAAAAUACAGGAUCCAUGAUUUGGUCAGUACAUGGGUUAGGAAGGGAACUAUAGGCAUUAUGCUAUGUAGGCACAGUGAACAAGUCUGUAUUGUGGGGUUUUGUUCUGCCUCUGCUUCCUUUGCUUGCAUUGAUCUGUAUAUUUACUGUGAAGUUUAUAAUGCACAAUGAAUAAAGGAGUAAAAUGCAGAAAGUGCUCAGGGUAGAGACAAAUUCAAAACUCAGAUGCCCAUGAGUCAGACAAUGAACAAUACAAUUCAAUUAGUAACUUCCUGUAUUUUAUGUGUUUUUAAAUUUAUUUGAUUACUUCAUAUAACUACAAUACUCUGCUUCUAAUAAACUUGAGAUAAAGGUUAAAAAUAAAUCUCUAGCUGCAUAUGUGUCAAAAGAUGGCCUAGUUGGCCAUCACUGGAAAGAGAGGCCCAUUGGACACGCAAACUUUAUAUGCCCCAGUACAGGGGAACGCCAGGGCCAAAAGGGGGGAGUGGGUGGGUAUGGGGGACUUUUGGUAUAGCAUUGGAAAUGUAAAUGAGCUAAAUACCUAAUAAAAAAUGGAAAAAAAAUAAAGUUGAUGGGGGAUUUUUUUUUUGGUACUAUAUUACCCUAUUCUACUUUUUAAGUUCAGUUUAUGGGAAAUGAUUCUUUAUAUUGUGUUACCUCAGCUACCUACAGGAAAGAAUAACCUCAUCCCCAUGUGUGCUGAGUGCUUCCUAUUUCUCAGGUAGUUCUAGACAUCAUUAUAUCUGUGAGUUUCAAGCUGUACUGUAGCACAUAGUUGCUUUGCAUGGUUUGUCGAUAAUAGGCAAAUCAUGAACUACAACAAAAAGGAAUAUACCAGCAGUGUUACUGAGCAAUGUGAGAUGUAAUCAGUUUUCACACUAAACAUACUUACAGACUAGAGAAAUUAUUACCGCAGAGUAUACAGAAAAAUGUAUUUCUAGCAGAGAGUCUAGAAUAGAUAAUAUUCCUCUUCUCACCCCUCAUUCCCAAAGAUGUUAUGUGACAGUAUUCUUUCAGCAGUAGACACUAUAUUGAUUGUAAAUAUUUUACUAGAAGUAAGCCUCAAGGACUGCUUUGGAAAAUGGCAGAUAACAAGAAGGCAUGAUUUGCUAGAGUCUUCAGAGAAUACACUGGGGAAAGUUGGAAAACAUCCAUAAAAAGGUGAGCAAUGCUCCUAAAUCUCUACUUUAAUAGCAAAGUAUAAUAGGAAUUUUACAAAACAGAGCAAGGGAAAAAAUUUAGUGUCCAUCCUGGAGGGGCUGAUGCACCCGGGGAGCCAUCCUACCUCUAGGCUAUGCAGGAGAAACUCUGAUUUAGCACUGCACACCAGUAUUCAGCAAAGUGGAAACCUGGUUGAAGUUAAGAGUCUGUAAGGCAAUAUAGAUGGGUUUCAAGUGGCACCCCUAACAUCCUGAAGGACGUCCCAGGAGUGGUACAGUAUUCAUGGCCAGACGAGAGGUAUGAAUGGCCUAUAAAAAACUUCCCACUCGUCGAAUCAACAUCUGUGACCAGUCUUUUACAAAGGACUACUUAGGAGUGUGACAGGCAUUAUGGAGACAGAAAAGAAGUUCUCAGAGUCAAGAUUUGAAUCAUAAAGUAGGCAAGAACUUCACGGUAGAAGGAAUGAACAUUUACAUGAUAGCAAAGAUAAGAAACUAUGAGUAGAAUAUUAAAGAUCUAUGGAAAACUGUAAAAGAUCAAACAUAUGAUUCGCAGGCAUACAAAGAGAAUUUCAUGCUAAUGGCAUGGAAAACAUCAAGUUAUAGCCGUCCCACCCUCCCAGCAUUGCUAUACUUUGAUGGGAGAAACUGUUUUUCAGUAAAACGAUAGCAGAUCUCCCAAAUCUAGGGGAAGAAGUGUCCAUUCUAGUACAGGAGGAAUUCAGAACACCAAAGACCACCAGAGUAAAACCUCCCCACAUCAUAGCUAAAUAUUAAGUCUACAAAACAAAGGACAUGUUUUGAAAGCUGUAAGAGAAACAAGUAAAUGAAGUAAAUUACAUAAUAUAAAGACAGUCUCAUUGGAGUAACACUACAUUUCACAGCAGAAACUUUCAAAGUCAGGAGGGCUUGGAAUUCUGUUUUCCAAGCUCUAAAAGGCAAGGAAUGCAAACUCAGACUACUACACCCAGCAAAUCAUGUCAUAACUGAAAAGCAAAACAACAGAUGCUCUGCUGACGACUUGGACAAAAGAUAACACUUAGUCUGUUGGUGGAAAUGUAACUAGUCCAGUCACUAUGGAAAUCAGUAUGGAAGUUCCUCAAAAAACUAAAACUACAAUAUAGCCUGGGUCUAGCACUCCUGUGCAUUUAUUUAUACAAAGAACUCUAAGUCAAUACAUCACAGUACACUUACUGCAUAUGAAUGUUUACUACAGAUCUUUUCACAAGAGAUAAACUAUGGAACCAACCAAAAUGUCCAACAACAGAUAAAGAAAAUAUGCUAUUUAUGUACAAUGGAAUUUCUUCUAGCCGUGGAGUUAACUUCAAGUAGAAAUAAGUGAAGAGAAUCUUAUCACGGGAAGUAAGCCUGUCUGCGAAAGACACAUAUCCACAUUUUCUCUCCCUUUAGGCCAUGAAAGCAGAAGCAAUCCUGAUAUCAUAUGGAGAGUAAUGGGGAGGACAACAGGAAGAUGCUCAGUGUGCACUUGUAUUUGUGAGAAUGUCUUCAGUGUAACACAGUGGUGUGUGCAGUGACUGCAAUCCUGGUUUGCACUAUACACGGUACUUUCUAGGCAACACACCAAGAACGUUCUUAUUAUGGCAGUGCUUGUGCUGUUAGUAUUUAAAUACUUCAUUUUGAAGCUGGGGAGCAGUCUCAAAUUGUGCUCAUGCACUGUACUUGUGACAGUGCCUGCUUGCUAGUGCAUUUCUACUGACUGGACACUGCAUUCAUAUGUCUUUAGUUGUUCUUCUAUGUUUAGUUCUUUAUCACGUGUGCUUUCCUCUCUCUCCCAGUAGAUGUUCACUGUUGCACUGUUUCAGUGUAUUAAAGAAGCAAACACAGUGGAGGGCCAGCCAGCAUAGCUAUGGUAGCUCCAGAACAAAAAGCCCAGAGGAAAUCAGAGCCUCUUUGUGAACAGGUAUAUAAAAGUUUAUAGAGCAUAUGAUUUUUAAGAAAAAUGUAAGAUAAUAUAGGACUUUAAGAUAUUGGUAUAUAGCUUUGAUAAGUAUAAGAUUUCUCACUUCAAAAUUAAUAACACAAUCCCGAGACAAUAACCUUUUGAUGGUGUGAAAUGAAUAUUUUUUGAAGUAGAAUUGCAUUUAAGUUGCUAAAGUGUAUAUUUGAGUUUUAAUGAUUAUUCACUCAUGGAGAUAAGUUUUGGGUUUGGAGCAAAUGCCUGAGUAGUAUGCCUGAGUUUACCACCAUUGUUUGUCUUUUUUAAUUUUUAUUUUUUAUUUUAUUUUUUUAACCAGCAUUGUUAAAUAAGUUUUAGAACAUUUCCUUAGCAGUGAAACUAUUUGCAUCUUAAGAAAGAAUUAACAGACAAUAAAAAUAUAGUAUGUAUAGAAAUUAAGACUUAAAUGAUUUCUUUCUUGUAGUGAUAUAUAAAAAUAUGAGUAUAAUAUUCUUGUUAGAAUUUUAGAAUUUUCCUUAAAAGUUUUAGAAUAUUUUUGUUUACAGAAUGCUUAUAUAUUGAUUUUUUUUUUUUUUGAGAUAGCGUUUCUCUGCAUGGCCUGGCUGAUGUGGAGCUCACUAUGUAGACUAAGCUGGCCUGGAACUCACAGAGAUCUUCCUGCCUGCCUUUGCCCCAUGAAUACUGAGAUUAAAGGCAUGUGCCACCACACCCAGCAUGAUGAAUUCUUAAUGCUUAUAGUAAGCUAAAAAAUAAGCUCAUUGUAGUGCAAUUAAUUUAUGUAAGACCAUUAUAUACUACAAAGUUGUCCACUAAUACAUUCUUUAUGGUUAUUACAGCAAGUCUGUUGAUACUAUUUCAUGGGCAAGACUCUAGGAUUUUCGAGAAAGAAUAUUAUUUUAGGAUGUAUUCUUCGUGCAGGCAGUUAGACCUACUGUAAUCUGCUAUUGGUCACAUGCACACAUCCUUCAGUCAUUUUCCUUUUUGUCCUAAUGUAAUUAUGUUAUAAUAUUUGUUGCAAUGUACAAGUAAAUUGUACUUCUAUUAACAUACAUCAUAAACCUCUUUCUAAAUCUUAGACUUCUUAUGCCACGUUUGAAAUUACAGGACUGGUUUAGAUUACACUAUUAAUUGCAUUACUAGCUUCUACUUCUCCUAAAAUGAGCUUAAUUUAUAUGACUUACCAUUUCAAUCUUUAAGAUAACUCAAAUUACCUCUCAAUGUCUGCUAUUUCAGCUGAAAAAUAAGGAUACUGGGUUUGGUUCAUAAUAGUAAUAGAUGAAGAAAUAAAUGUUAAUAUUUUUGUUCUGAAAUCUCUUGAAAUUUGUUUAUGUACACCUACAGAAAAGUGCAAGAAAAUUUUAUUCAUAUUGUGACAUAUGGUGAUUUUUGACUGCAGCUUCCGUCUCUAGUAUAUUGAAGGAAAGUGACUGACAUGCUGUGGACAUCCCACCUGGGCUUACCUGAGCCGUUUUUCAGAUAUCCAUUUGCAUCUACUGUUGUGUACAUGAUAUAAGGUCCAGGCUGAUUUACUCCAAAAGGCUGCAGGAAGAAAGGAAAUAGUUGGCCUUGAGAAAGUUGCCUUCAGUGAAUGCUUAUCAACUAUACACAGUUGUUCAAAAGUGUGGGCCAGAAAGAUUGUAAGAGUCAGUGGGAAUGGAAGACACUAAGGAAACGAGGCCUUCUAAACACAACAGGACUGACACACAUCUGACCACAGAGACUGUGGCAGCAUGCAGAGAUCUAAGGACUGUAGGACCCUAUGGUAUGAACCUCCUUGACCUUCAAAACAGAGCAUCUGGAAUCUAAGAGACGGGAUCUCCCUAUUCAAAGUCUACCUACUCAGCCUCUUGGGUUUAUAGUGUGCACCACAAUGCCUGGAUUAGAUCUAAAAACAAGACAGAUCAAAACAAAAUAAAUUCCUAUGACUGCCUUGGAAAUUAGGAUUUCUUGCUAUAAAUUCAAUGUGAGUCUGCUGAUCAGCUGUAGAUACCAUCAUUACAAACCAAAAGUUAAAGUAUACUGUUUAAAUAUUUGAAAGUUUAAAAAAAAUUCGCAAAGAAAUUUAAAGCAAAAAUAAAAAUUAUUUGGAUGCUCUUCUAAGGAAGAGAAAUCAGGCUUAAAUAAAUUUAAGGAAUAUUAUUUUUGCAAAUACAGUUUAUACCCAUAAUAAAGCAAUUUUAUGUUUCUUUAUAAGACUUUAUAGUUUUUGUUCUUCCCUUGUAAAAGGAUAGGUCUCAUUAUACAGUCCAGGCUACUCUGACAGUAUUGUAAAAGAGUGAUUAACUCAUGGUUCAUUUGUCCUUUUUUAGGCCAAACACAUAAAAUUAAAGUUCAUAGGUGAAUUUAAGUUCAGAUUACUCUUAAUUUUCUAAAACUAUUUUAGAAGUACCCACUCAUGGUGUUUCUAAGUAAACAAUGAAAUAAUGUUCAGAACAUGUGGGUGAGUAGAACAGGAAAGAUGACCUCUCAAAGAAUACAACAGGAUGUAAGAUGAAAAAAACAAGAGAAACUUAGGGGUAGCCACAUUUGUGGAGUCUGGUGACACUGAAUUAAAUACAAAUUUCAGCUUAUCUUCAGAUUUUUUUUUUAAAGUUGCCACAGUAUCAAAGUCACUGGUUAUGUUAUGAAUAUACUUACAUACCUCAUAUAUAGAUAAAUUAUAUCAAUAAUCAUGUUGGAAAUUCUGAUGCUUUUAGAAAACAAGUAAUCAUAAGGAAAUAUUUACUCAGAACAGCAUCACUCUGUGCAGAGUGUUCUCGACAUGGCUCGUUCAUUUGCUGUACUUCACUCAUGCAGAGGUAUAUUCAUUACUCGCUUUUCUUACUUUGUCAGUUUAGGCGAUCUGUCCCAGGUCACACAGUGCUGGGUUGAACCUGAAGUCUAGGAUCAGAUUUUAACCACCAAUAUUUAGUCUCAAAAAUGUUCUGUCAUUCAUCUUUAGAAAAAAAAAUGUUUUAAAUAUCAACUUUUGAUGAAUGAAAAAUAACUUUAUUUUACAGUGAAUGUUCUUUUUUUUUUUCCUCUACAGAAAAUGAAUCUAUAAAAAAGCCAUGGGAUGAGUUCACCGAUUACACAAGAAACUAUAAGCUGACCCCAUUGACUCCUCCUGGGAGAGACUGUACCAGAUUAAGUACUGUCAGUCACAAGUAGCUGUGAGAAGACAUUUUGCAAGUGUCUGCCAUGCAGUUUACCCCCUACCUUCCAGAUGUAUUCUUCAAUAUAGCCAGAGCAUCUGGGUAGCCGUCCAUGUUGUAGUCUCCAAUGUGAAGUGUGAGUGGGAUUGGUAUUGUGGUUGGUUGUUCUUCAUGCACAAAUGGCACAAAGCCCCAGAGUGUACCCUUAUUGCUAAAAUCCUGAAGCACAGGAACCCACUAAGGAUAAAGAAAAAAAAAAAAAAAGAGUAUUUAUAAUCACUUUAGGGAAAUAGUCACCAUUUGCAAAAGGAACGAUCCAUCCAAAGUGCUGAAGACAGUCAUCAUUUUAUUUCAUUUUCACAGAAUGGCCGGCAUGAUCAUUUAUUCUGAUGUACGUGUGAGACCCUGGGAGGACUGGUCUUCCAUAGGCUUUGUCCUGAGCAUCUUUGCUUGAACAGCACACAGAGCCACAGGGUCCUCACACAUACAUGCAACCGUAGGAAUGAACAAGCUCUGUCCUCACCUGACAGGCAUCGCACAGACAAGGGGAAUCUACUAUGACACCAAAAUAGAUGGAAGCAAAAGUUUUAGUAAAUCUUCAUGGUCUAUAAUGAUUACAAGGAAGAGAAUAGAAAAGAUUAGCUUGACUGUAAAGUGAGCUUCUUCCCUCUUCUGAUUUGCACAGGUCUCCUCAUGCUUUGAUAAAUUAAUAUAAAACUAGAAUCUGAAGAGUAGAGAUCAUAGCAUUAACAUUACAGCUGUGUCACACUCCCUUAGGAAUCAUUAUGUUAGCAUUGAUCCUAGACAUGUCUUAAGUGGAAGCAGGUAUACUUCAAUUGGCAAGUAGCCAAACAUGCCCACACAUGCAUUUUUUCCCCCUCACAAGCAAAUGGUUAACCUUGAUUGCUGCAAACUAAAGUAUAUUAAAAAUGAUUAAAAAUAAAAGGUCUAGGGAAAAAAAAGACUAUCUCUAAAAUUUUGUAAGUUUUCCUAAGAAAGUUUAAUUUGCCAUUGUGGGGGUUGGGCGGACCCUUAGUGAUAAAACAUUGAAUAAAUUUACUUAAGGAAAAAGUAUUACUUUCUAUCUUGUGAACUUUAAAAAACAAACAUUUAGACUGUGCAGUGGUAGUGCAUGCCUUCAAUCACAAUAUCCGGGAGGCAGGGAGGGGCAAGUAAGUCUCUGCCUUUGCGGACAGCUUGUUCUUCAGAGCUCGUCCUACAAUAGCCUAGGCGACACAGAGAAACUCUGUUGUGGGGAGGAGGGACAGACAAACAAAACACCCUAAACAAACAUUUAAAAAUUUUUACCUAAUUUUGAAAAAACAAAAGAAAACAAAACUGCUACUGUUGCAUGCUGAAAAAUACUGGAAAUUUCACAAAAUGCUAAGUUGGCACAAUAUUCUAAAGCAAUGAUCACUGUAGGAUUGCACGCCUUUACAUCCUCAUGUUCAGGAGGCAGAGGUAGGUGGAUUUCCAUGAGUUCAAGGCCAACCUGGUCUACAUAGUGAGUUCCAGAACAGACAGAUACAGAGGGAUCCUACCUGAAAAACAAAACCUCUAAACCAAAACCAAACCAAACCAAACCAAAAAAACCCAAAACCAACCCACAAAAACAAACACACAACAAAAUCCUAAAAUAAGCUAAACUGGAAAAAGAAAAAGAUUUUCUAAAUUCUGAAGCAGUCAACAGUCUGAAUGAGGGGUAAAUCCAUGGCAGAUCAAGUGUUUCCAUUAAGGUUUUUUUUUUUUUUUUUUUUUUUUUGGUUUUUCGAGACAGGGUUUUUCUGUAGCCUGGCUGUCCUGGAACUCACUCUGUAGGCCAGGCUGGCCUUAAACUCAGAAAUCCACCUGCCUCUGCUUCCCGAGUGCUGGGAUUAACGGCGUGUGCCACCACUGCCUGGCAUAUUAUGUUUUAACAAAGAAUUUUUCACUUAAUGUGGUAUCUGUAACACUCAUCAAAGAACAAUACAUUGGUCUUCCUAGAGAUAGGAAACUAUAUAUAUAUAACUUUUAAGUAUUCCCAUUGUGGUCUAUCACUUAACAGAUUGAGUUAUAAAUAAAAUUUUAUACCUAUGAACUAAUGAUGGGAAGUUUCUUGACCUAAUGUUUAAACGAUUCACAAAUAUACAACUAUACAAAGAUAAUAAAACAUGAUACUUCAAUUAUUUUUAAAAUGCUAAAUGCAUAAAGAUUUCUUUUAUUAAGUGAAUAUAAAUGUGCUGUUUUCUACUUAUAAGGCUCCUAAGGGCUAUAAAGGUCAGCAUGAUAUCCUAUCUUUUACUAACU